RNAcentral lists this ribosomal RNA (497 nucleotides) under uncultured bacterium. Its description in RNAcentral is "partial 16S ribosomal RNA". It matches the Rfam family "Bacterial small subunit ribosomal RNA", at positions 28 to 507 of the family's 1533-position model. The record is from RNAcentral.
GAUGAACGCUGGCGGCGUGCCUAAUACAUGCAAGUCGAGCGAACAGACGAGGAGCUUGCUCCUCUGACGUUAGCGGCGGACGGGUGAGUAACACGUGGAUAACCUACCUAUAAGACUGGGAUAACUUCGGGAAACCGGAGCUAAUACCGGAUAAUAUAUUGAACCGCAUGGUUCAAUAGUGAAAGACGGUUUUGCUGUCACUUAUAGAUGGAUCCGCGCCGCAUUAGCUAGUUGGUAAGGUAACGGCUUACCAAGGCAACGAUGCGUAGCCGACCUGAGAGGGUGAUAGGCCACACUGGAACUGAGACACGGUCAAGACUCCUACGGGAGGCAGCAGUAGGGAAUCUUCCGCAAUGGGCGAAAGCUUGACGGAGCAACGCCGCGUGAGUGAUGAAGGUCUUCGGAUCGUAAAACUCUGUUAUUAGGGAAGAACAAAUGUGUAAGUAACUAUGCACGUCUUGACGGUACCUAAUCAGAAAGCCACGGCUAACUACGUG